RNAcentral lists this ribosomal RNA (837 nucleotides) under Actinomadura sp. IM-3889. RNAcentral's name for it is "bacterial SSU rRNA". It matches the Rfam family "Bacterial small subunit ribosomal RNA", at positions 38 to 889 of the family's 1533-position model. Lineage: Bacteria; Bacillati; Actinomycetota; Actinomycetes; Streptosporangiales; Thermomonosporaceae. The record is from RNAcentral.
GGCGGCGUGCUUAACACAUGCAAGUCCAGCGGAAAGGCCCCUUCGGGGGUACUCGAGCGGCGAACGGGUGAGUAACACGUGAGCAACCUGCCCCUGACUCUGGGAUAAGCCUGGGAAACUGGGUCUAAUACCGGAUAUGACCAUUCUGCGCAUGGUGGGGUGGUGGAAAGUUUUUCGGUUGGGGUUGGGCUCGCGGCCUAUCAGCUUGUUGGUGGGGUGAUGGCCUACCAAGGCGACGACGGGUAACCGGCCUGAGAGGGCGACCGGUCACACUGGGACUGAGACACGGCCCAGACUCCUACGGGAGGCAGCAGUGGGGAAUAUUGCGCAAUGGGCGGAAGCCUGACGCAGCGACGCCGCGUGGGGGAUGACGGCCUUCGGGUUGUAAACCUCUUUCAGCACAGACGAAGCUAACGUGACGGUAGGUGCAGAAGAAGCGCCGGCUAACUACGUGCCAGCAGCCGCGGUAAUACGUAGGGCGCAAGCGUUGUCCGGAAUUAUUGGGCGUAAAGAGCUCGUAGGCGGUUUGUCGCGUCUGUCGUGAAAGCCCACGGCUUAACCGUGGGUCUGCGGUGGAUACGGGCAGACUAGAGGCAGGUAGGGGAGAAUGGAAUUCCCGGUGUAGCGGUGAAAUGCGCAGAUAUCGGGAGGAACACCGGUGGCGAAGGCGGUUCUCUGGGCCUGUACUGACGCUGAGGAGCGAAAGCGUGGGGAGCGAACAGGAUUAGAUACCCUGGUAGUCCACGCCGUAAACGUUGGGCGCUAGGUGUGGGGUUCUUCCACGGAUUCCGCGCCGUAGCUAACGCAUUAAGCGCCCCGCCUGGGGAGUACGGCCGC